GGGAGCAGAGUAAAACCAUCCAGGUCUCAUUUUAUUUAUCUUUUCUUAUUUGCAGCCCCUUCAGCAGAAGUAAUGCUGUUACUAAUCAGGAGGCAGAAGUCCUAAGGCUACGGAGGACAAAGUUGGAUAAAAAUGUUCCAUGAAGGCAGACACUUCAAUGUCUGAAAUAGAAAGAGAUUUCCUGAGACUGACGCAGGCCCAGUGUCUCCUCCUUCCCACUGGUUACCUCCCGGCUUGUCGCAUGAUGAGGCAGUGAAUCCUCUCCUCUGUGCCUUGUGCUUUGCCAAAGAAACACUGCCAGGGUAAGCAGGGUGCUGAGG
This 320-nucleotide long non-coding RNA is filed under the name Fukomys damarensis (Damara mole-rat). Its description in RNAcentral is "lncRNA (ENSFDAG00000028306.1)". Lineage: Eukaryota; Metazoa; Chordata; Mammalia; Rodentia; Bathyergidae. The record is from RNAcentral.